Molecule: long non-coding RNA, 529 nt
Filed under: Equus caballus (horse)
Lineage: Eukaryota; Metazoa; Chordata; Mammalia; Perissodactyla; Equidae
Description: lncRNA (ENSECAG00000056276.1)
Source: RNAcentral
AGUAGCGGCAAUUAAGAUGUCUUUUUAUGCCAGGUGAAGUGCUCAGCAGUCUUCAAAAGCUUGCACACGGCUUCCAGCUUCAGCUGAGCCAACAUCUCAGGCUAUGACCAAAUGACCAGCAGAUAAGGAGAGAGAUCACCUCUCCAUGGGUCCUGAAAGAAUAUGGCUGCAGGAAGGUCCUAGACCUGAGGCACACAAAGACCCAUUGUCCAUUUAUCUCCUGGGAGAAGACAGAGGUCUUUCUAGAUUUUACAAGGAGCCCCCAUCAGAUGCAAGCAGGCAGCCAGUAUGUGGUCAGAUCACCUGAAUCAAGUCUCAGAUUAAGAUGAGACAACUUCAGGCAAAGUAUCAAUCAAUGAUGUGGAUUGAAUGACAAGUUAUCUAGAUGACACUCAUCAGCAUUAUCUAACACAGAAACUUAGGGCCUGUUCGUUACUGCAGAGGCAGCAGCAAGCUCACAACCGCCCCAUCUUCGGGACUUAAACAGCAGAUGUUUGCCCAAAGAUCUUCUCUGUUUCUGAAAGACUCG